CUAGCGACUUCAGAGUUUGAUCCUGGCUCAGGAUGAACGCUGGCGGCGUGCUUAACACAUGCAAGUCGAACGAAGCACUUUUGAUUGAUUCUUCGGAUGAAAGAGAUUGUGACUGAGUGGCGGACGGGUGAGUAACGCGUGGGUAACCUGCCUCAUACAGGGGGAUAACAGUUAGAAAUGACUGCUAAUACCGCAUAAGCGCACGGUAUCGCAUGAUACAGUGUGAAAAACUCCGGUGGUAUGAGAUGGACCCGCGUCUGAUUAGCUAGUUGGUGGGGUAACGGCUCACCAAGGCAACGAUCAGUAGCCGGCCUGAGAGGGUGAACGGCCACAUUGGGACUGAGACACGGCCCAA
Molecule: ribosomal RNA, 355 nt
Filed under: uncultured bacterium
Lineage: Bacteria
Description: bacterial SSU rRNA
Rfam family: Bacterial small subunit ribosomal RNA
Source: RNAcentral